AUACUUACCUGGCAGGGGAGAUACCAUGAUCACGAAGGUGGUUCACCCAGGGUGAGGCAUAGCCAUUGUACUGCGGCUGUGCUGACCCCUGCGAAUUCCCCAAAUGUGGGAAUCUCGACUGCAUAAUUUCUGGUAGUGGGGGACUGCGUUCGCGCUCUCCCCUG
Small nuclear RNA from Brienomyrus brachyistius, 164 nucleotides. RefSeq annotates it as U1 spliceosomal RNA. The record is from RefSeq and is a predicted model, not a curated record. The transcript has a single exon. Lineage: Eukaryota; Metazoa; Chordata; Actinopteri; Osteoglossiformes; Mormyridae.